UAAGGAAUAUUGGUCAAUGGACGCAAGUCUGAACCAGCCAUGCCGCGUGAAGGAUGAAGGUCCUCUGGAUUGUAAACUUCUUUUAUCUGGGACGAAAACGGGAUUUUUAUCUCAAUUGACGGUACCAGAGGAAUAAGCACCGGCUAACUCCGUGCCAGCAGCCGCGGUAAUACGGAGGGUGCGAGCGUUAUCCGGAUUUACUGGGUUUAAAGGGUGCGUAGGUGGGCUUAUAAGUCAGUGGUGAAAUCUCCGAGCUUAACUUGGAAACUGCCGUGGAUACUAUAGGUCUUGAAUUAUCUGGAGGUAAGCGGAAUAUGUCAUGUAGCGGUGAAAUGCUUAGAUAUGACAUAGAACACCAAUUGCGAAGGCAGCUUACUACAUAUAUAUUGACGCUGAGGCACGAAAGCGUGGGGAUCAAACA
Molecule: ribosomal RNA, 421 nt
Filed under: uncultured bacterium
Lineage: Bacteria
Description: bacterial SSU rRNA
Rfam family: Bacterial small subunit ribosomal RNA
Source: RNAcentral